UACGAAGGGGGCUAGCGUUGCUCGGAUUUACUGGGCGUAAAGGGCGCGUAGGCGGACAGUUAAGUUGGGGGUGAAAGCCCGGGGCUCAACCUCGGAAUUGCCUUCAAUACUGGCUGUCUUGAGUGUGAGAGAGGUGUGUGGAACUGCGAGUGUAGAGGUGAAAUUCGUAGAUAUUCGGAAGAACACCAGUGGCGAAGGCGACACACUGGCUCGAUACUGACGCUGAGGCGCGAAAGCGUGGGGAGCAAACAGG
Molecule: ribosomal RNA, 253 nt
Filed under: uncultured bacterium
Lineage: Bacteria
Description: partial 16S ribosomal RNA
Rfam family: Bacterial small subunit ribosomal RNA
Source: RNAcentral